UAAUAAUCCGCGCCUCACAGCUGCACGCGGCCAUAUCCUCUAACAAUCCCGCGAUGGCUGCGGGGGAGCGAGGUGGGACCAACUCACGUUCCGCUGGCGGUGGAAGGGUUGGGUACAUCCACAGCCAGGCCAGGGUGGUCAAUCCCAGACGACUGGCGACGUUCUCGACUCGCGUACGCUGGUAGGUGGAGAGGAUGGCGCCGGAGCAGACGGCGUUGGCAGUUGGGUGGACCGUUAGUAUCUGUUGGAGGAGGUGGAAGAUAGAUUCUGUUUCGUCUGUUGCUGCUGCUGCUGCUGCUGCUGAUGUUGAUGAUGUUGAUGAUGAUGAUGACGGUGGAGGAGGUUCCUGAUAGUCGCGCGAUGUGUUGAUGGCUGUGCCGUGGAUCGGGGCACGGUAGAGCGGGAUGCCCAGGGCGGACUGGUACAGGUGGAUUAUGCUGUGGCCGACUGUUUGGUACAUGUAACUGUGGAGGUCUUCUUCUUCUACGACGACGUCGUCGUCGUCGUCAUCUUCCUCUUCUUUCCCCAAUUGGCCAAGCGGUCCAUCUCCGUUACCUUCCUCCUCGCCGGCUCUAUCCUUUUGGACAACAUCUCCAUCCCGGUCGUCGCAUCGCAACGACCCCGCCGUUAAGUAUGUAGCAUAAUUAGAGCUGCGCUGUGGCUGCGGAGACGGAUGGAGGUUCGCGAGCGCAACAACCUUGUGUCCAUUUUUGAGACAGUGGAGGAUGGUGUAGAGAGAGUCUUUGCCGCCAGAUAUCAGGGCAAUGACGUUGAGUUGUUGUUGUCGUUGUUGGUGUGGCAUGGUGAAAAUCUUGAACAGAUUCCAAGAUCCAAAGAUCCAGGGGGCCGCGUUCCAGUUGCGGGUUACCCGAUUGACCAAAGUCUAGUUGGGGUCUCAGCGCCAGCAACAGGACUAUGUACAGUACAACUGAAAGUAGAUAUAAUAAGACA
This 951-nucleotide small RNA is filed under the name Histoplasma ohiense. RNAcentral's name for it is "hypothetical lncRNA". The record is from RNAcentral. Lineage: Eukaryota; Fungi; Ascomycota; Eurotiomycetes; Onygenales; Ajellomycetaceae.